RNAcentral lists this ribosomal RNA (240 nucleotides) under uncultured bacterium. Its description in RNAcentral is "partial 16S ribosomal RNA". It matches the Rfam family "Bacterial small subunit ribosomal RNA", at positions 537 to 776 of the family's 1533-position model. The record is from RNAcentral.
AGCGUUGUUCGGAAUUACUGGGCGUAAAGGGCGCGUAGGCGGCCUGCUCAGUCGAACGUGAAAUCCCCGGGCUCAACCCGGGAACUGCGUCCGAUACUGGUAGGCUUGAAUUCGGGAGAGGGAUGCGGAAUUCCAGGUGUAGCGGUGAAAUGCGUAGAUAUCUGGAGGAACACCGGUGGCGAAGGCGGCAUCCUGGACCGACAUUGACGCUGAGGCGCGAAAGCCAGGGGAGCAAACGGG